AAUCUUUCCCAUUUUCUUAAAAUUUUCUUCAAUUUUCCCGUUGACUUCCAAAAUCAAAAUAUUGAUUUUGGUUUUUGGUUUGGGGUUCCAUUUUUCUUCUCUUUCGCGUUCUUUCGAUCCGAUUGUUAGGUUUUUUCUUCACAUCUUUGAUCCUCCUUUCCUUAGGGUUUAGACCUUUUCUUUGUCGUCUCAGAUCCUCAAUUUCACCGCGUAAUUCCUUUCCACUUCCCUCAGUUUCCACCCUUUGGUCUUCAUUUUUGUUCUCCUUUUUCCUCGCGUUUACUACUCCUUUCUUCUUCAUAGUGUUUAAGACGUCAGAAAUCUUUGUUUUGUUGGGAGGUGCCUAUUUAAUUGGUUUUCUUGUUCAUACCAUUUCUGGGUUCUCUUUGCUUUCUGAGAAUGGCUAUGCGGUUGACGGCUUCUGGGAUUUUUAAAUUGCGGAGGAUCAAGUGAAGGGCAAGUUGGCAAGUUGCAAUGCAAGGAGUCUAAAACUGGGCCCCCCCAAAACCAACUCCAAAUUCAAAUUGCCAUUAAAUUAUGCAAUUUCAUUCAAGUGGAAGCACUCAAAAAGGAGGAGAAAGCCACAAACAAUGGGAAAAAAAGGUUUUUUUUUCUUCCUUCUGGUCUCUCUCCAAAUUUGAGAUCACAAUUUAAAGUUGCAUCACUUUCACACCUAUCAUUGUCCCCACUUCCCUAAUUCUCUUGUGUUUGAAAUUGAGGUGUAGAUUUGAAAUUUUGACCUCUGAAUGAAAUAAUGGAUGUUGUAAUACGUUGGUAAGGUUAAGAACAAAAAUGUGGAAAGUAAGAAUUUGAACCUUCAACUUAUGGUUUACUUAUGAUCAUUGA
Long non-coding RNA from Benincasa hispida (wax gourd), 846 nucleotides. RefSeq lists it as uncharacterized. The record is from RefSeq and is a predicted model, not a curated record. NCBI's taxonomy places the organism in Eukaryota, Viridiplantae, Streptophyta, Magnoliopsida, Cucurbitales, Cucurbitaceae.